This 119-nucleotide ribosomal RNA is filed under the name Gossypium raimondii (Peruvian cotton). The record is from RNAcentral. Lineage: Eukaryota; Viridiplantae; Streptophyta; Magnoliopsida; Malvales; Malvaceae.
GGGUGCGAUCAUACCAGCAAUAAUGCACCGGAUCCCAUCAGAACUCCGCAGUUAAACGUGCUUGGGCCAGAGUAGUACUAGGAUGGGUGAUCUCCUGGGAAGUCCUCGUGUUGCACCCC